This 535-nucleotide long non-coding RNA is filed under the name Mus spicilegus (steppe mouse). RNAcentral describes it as "lncRNA (ENSMSIG00000013109.1)". Lineage: Eukaryota; Metazoa; Chordata; Mammalia; Rodentia; Muridae. The record is from RNAcentral.
GUGUAGAACUAAAGAGACCUUGGAUUAUGUGACACGUGUUUCUACUUUAUUAGGUGAAUGUCAUUAGCCUCUUCAGGCUUUAUACGGGGAUGGAAGAUCAGCGGCUCUUUGGGAAUCCUCAGGACUUCAGUGCCAGGUUGAGCCUACUAAGACAUCUAGCCUUGGGGACUAAGCAUCUACUGUAAUCUUGAAUUCUCCUCUGUGAGACAGAGUAUCCCAUACUAAAGUUGAAAAUGGGCUAAGUGGCAAAUGUAGGAACACUGAGCUGACAAAUGGGGUAGAUAGGUCAGAAUAUCUGUUAGGAGCACUGCAGGAGGACCACAUUAGACCAAAGAGCCUUCUAUGCUGCAUAGAAGAUGCCAAGCCUAUUUCCAAGCUGGCAAGUAGGACUGGCAUUUCAUCCAGAGACCGCUCCACGCACCUUCUUGGCAGCAGAUGCAAAGGGAGAAGAAAGCUUCCAAGUUGGAAGGAGCCAAACUCCAACUACAGUAAAUAUGUUGGACCCAGGAAGGGAUUAGAAGAGAAGCAAAUCGUG